RNAcentral lists this non-coding RNA (26 nucleotides) under Homo sapiens (human). The record is from RNAcentral. Lineage: Eukaryota; Metazoa; Chordata; Mammalia; Primates; Hominidae.
UGCUAUUGUAUUUUGGCUUGGUGUGU